GAUCUCUUUGAGGCCCGUUAUCGGAAUGAGAACAAUUCAAAUCCUUUAACGAGGAUCUAGCGGAGGGCAAGUCUGGUGCCAGCAGCCGCGGUAAUUCCAGCGCCGCAGAUUUAUAUCCAUGCUGCUGCGGUUAAAAAGCUCGUAGUUGGAUCUGCGUGCUCGGAACUGGUUGGCUCACUGAGCUCAUACUGGUCUCCGGCGCUUUAUUGGCUGGUUUUCCCUUGAUGCUCUUAACCGGGUGUCUUGGGUGGCUAGCACGUUUACUUUGAAAAAAUUAGAGUGCUCAAUACAGGCGCAAAGCCUUGAAUAGUGGUGCAUGGAAUAAUAGAAUAGGACCUCGGCUCUAUUUUGUUGGUUUUCGGAACGCGAGGUAAUGAUUAAGAGGGACAGACGGGGGCAUUCGUAUUGCGACGUUAGAGGUGAAAUUCUUGGAUCGUCGCAAGACGGACGACUGCGAAAGCAUUUGCCAAGAAUGUUUUCAUUAAUCAAGAACGAAAGUUAGAGGUUCGAAGGCGAUCAGAUACCGCCCUAGUUCUAACCGUAAACGAUGCCAACUAGCGAUUCGCAGGCGUUAAACAACGACCUUGCGGGCAGCUUCCCGGAAACGAAAGUGUUCGGGUUCCGGGGGAAGUAUGGUUGCAAAGCUGAAACUUAAAGGAAUUGACGGAAGGGCACCACCAGGAGUGGAGCCUGCGGCUUAAUUUGACCCAACACGGGAAAACUCACCCGGCCCGGACACCGUAAGGAUUGACAGAUUGAGAGCUCUUUCUUGAUUCGGUGGGUGGUGGUGCAUGGCCGUUCUUAGUUGGUGGAGCGAUUUGUCUGGUUUAUUCCGAUAACGAACGAGACUCUGGCCUACUAAAUAGUGGGCGGAUUCUUUCUGUCCGCAACACUUCUUAGAGGGACAAGCGGUGUUUAGCCGCACGAGAUUGAGCAAUAACAGGUCUGUGAUGCCCUUAGAUGUCCGGGGCUGCACGCGCGCUACACUGAAGGAAUCAGCGUGCUUUCUGACCUUGCCCGAAAGGGCUGGGUAACCCGAUGAAAAUCCUUCGUGAUUGGGAUAGGGACUUGCAAUUAUUUCCCUUGAACGAGGAAUUCCCAGUAAGUGUGGGUCAUAAGCUCGCGUUGAUUACGUCCCUGCCCUUUGUACACACCGCCCGUCGCUGCCCGGGACUGAGCCGUUUCGAGAAGAACAGGGACCGUCGUUGAAGGGCCCUAACGGGCUUUUCUCUGAUAGAAACUGUUUU
RNAcentral lists this ribosomal RNA (1247 nucleotides) under metagenome. RNAcentral describes it as "SSU rRNA". It matches the Rfam family "Eukaryotic small subunit ribosomal RNA", at positions 488 to 1760 of the family's 1831-position model. The record is from RNAcentral.